This 497-nucleotide ribosomal RNA is filed under the name uncultured bacterium. RNAcentral describes it as "partial 16S ribosomal RNA". It matches the Rfam family "Bacterial small subunit ribosomal RNA", at positions 28 to 507 of the family's 1533-position model. The record is from RNAcentral.
GACGAACGCUGGCGGCGUGCCUAAUACAUGCAAGUUGAGCGCUGAAGGUUGGUACUUGUACCGACUGGAUGAGCAGCGAACGGGUGAGUAACGCGUGGGGAAUCUGCCUUUGAGCGGGGGACAACAUUUGGAAACGAAUGCUAAUACCGCAUAAAAACUUUAAACACAAGUUUUAAGUUUGAAAGAUGCAAUUGCAUCACUCAAAGAUGAUCCCGCGUUGUAUUAGCUAGUUGGUGAGGUAAAGGCUCACCAAGGCGAUGAUACAUAGCCGACCUGAGAGGGUGAUCGGCCACAUUGGGACUGAGACACGGCCCAAACUCCUACGGGAGGCAGCAGUAGGGAAUCUUCGGCAAUAGACGAAAGUCUGACCGAGCAACGCCGCGUGAGUGAAGAAGGUUUUCGGAUCGUAAAACUCUGUUGGUGGAGAAGAACGUUGGUGAGAGUGGAAAGCUCAUCAAGUGACGGUAACUACCCAGAAAGGGACGGCUAACUACGUG